This 529-nucleotide ribosomal RNA is filed under the name [Candida] sp. JadMP429. Its description in RNAcentral is "eukaryotic LSU rRNA". It matches the Rfam family "Eukaryotic large subunit ribosomal RNA", at positions 103 to 646 of the family's 3401-position model. The record is from RNAcentral. Lineage: Eukaryota; Fungi; Ascomycota; Saccharomycetes; Saccharomycetales.
UAGAGCUCAAAUUUGAAAUCUAGCACUUUCAGUGUUCGAGUUGUAAUUUGAAGAAGGUAACUUUGGAGUUGGCCCUUGUCUAUGUUCCUUGGAACAGGACGUCACAGAGGGUGAGAAUCCCGUGCGAUGGGGUGUCCAACUCUAUGUAAAGUGCUUUCGAAGAGUCGAGUUGUUUGGGAAUGCAGCUCUAAGUGGGUGGUAAAUUCCAUCUAAAGCUAAAUAUUGGCGAGAGACCGAUAGCGAACAAGUACAGUGAUGGAAAGAUGAAAAGAACUUUGAAAAGAGAGUGAAAAAGUACGUGAAAUUGUUGAAAGGGAAGGGCUUUAGAUCAGACUUGGUGUUUAGUACUCUUCACUCCUUGUGGGUGGGGCUCUUGCUUUAUACUGGGCCAGCAUCGGUUUGGAUGGUAGGAUAAUAGCAUUGGAACGUGGCUUCGCUUCGGUGGAGUGUUAUAGCCUUUGUUGAUACUACCUAUCUAGACCGAGGACUGCGUCUUUUGACUAGGAUGCUGGCGUAAUGAUCCAAAGCC